This 465-nucleotide ribosomal RNA is filed under the name uncultured bacterium. Its description in RNAcentral is "partial 16S ribosomal RNA". It matches the Rfam family "Bacterial small subunit ribosomal RNA", at positions 28 to 507 of the family's 1533-position model. The record is from RNAcentral.
GAUGAACGCUGGCGGCGUGCUUAACACAUGCAAGUCGAACGGAAAGGCUCCUGCUUGCAGGGGUACUCGAGUGGCGAACGGGUGAGUAACACGUGGGUGAUCUGCCCUGCACUUCGGGAUAAGCCUGGGAAACUGGGUCUAAUACCGGAUAGGACGAUGGUUUGGAUGCCAUUGUGGAAAGUUUUUCGGUGUGGGAUGAGCUCGCGGGCUAUCAGCUUGUUGGUGGGGUAAUGGCCUACCAAGGCGUCGACGGGUAGCCGGCCUGAGAGGGUGUACGGCCACAUUGGGACUGAGAUACGGACCAGACUCCUACGGGAGGCAGCAGUGGGGAAUAUUGCACAAUGGGCGCAAGCCUGAUGCAGCGACGCCGCGUGGGGGAUGACGGCCUUCGGGUUGUAAACUCCUUUCGCUAGGGACGAAGCGCAAGUGACGGUACCUGGAGAAGAAGCACCGGCUAACUACGUG